RNAcentral lists this ribosomal RNA (373 nucleotides) under uncultured organism. Its description in RNAcentral is "partial 16S ribosomal RNA". It matches the Rfam family "Bacterial small subunit ribosomal RNA", at positions 527 to 896 of the family's 1533-position model. The record is from RNAcentral.
GAACCGUCCAAACGUUAUUCGGAAUCACUGGGCUUAAAGGGUGCGUAGGCGGCCCGGCAAGUUGGGGUGUGAAAUCCCUCGGGCUCAACCGAGGAAUUGCGCCCAAAACUGCCGGACUUGAGGGAGAUAGAGGUGAGUGGAACUAUGGGUGGAGCGGUGAAAUGCGUUGAUAUCCGUAGGAACACCGGUGGCGAAAGCGGCUCACUGGAUCUCUUCUGACGCUGAGGCACGAAAGCUAGGGGAGCGAACGGGAUUAGAUACCCCGGUAGUCCUAGCUGUAAACGAUGAGCACUAGAUCGUAGAGAUCUCCAUGUCUUUACGGUCGAACUGAAAAGGUUAAGUGCUCCGCCUGGGGAGUAUGGCCGCAAGGCUA